This 271-nucleotide ribosomal RNA is filed under the name uncultured prokaryote. RNAcentral describes it as "partial 16S ribosomal RNA". It matches the Rfam family "Bacterial small subunit ribosomal RNA", at positions 524 to 794 of the family's 1533-position model. The record is from RNAcentral.
UACGUAGGUGGCGAGCGUUGUCCGGAUUUACUGGGCGUAAAGGGCGAGUAGGCGGUAACACAAGUCAGAUGUGAAAGGCGAGGGCUCAACUCUCGGAUUGCAUUUGAAACUGUGUAACUUGAGUGCGGUAGAGGAAAGUGGAAUUCCCAGUGUAGCGGUGAAAUGCGUAGAUAUUGGGAGGAACACCAGUGGCGAAGGCGACUUUCUGGGCCGUAACUGACGCUGAGGCGCGAAAGCGUGGGGAGCGAACAGGAUUAGAUACCCUGGUAGU